Molecule: non-coding RNA, 87 nt
Filed under: uncultured Nitzschia
Lineage: Eukaryota; Bacillariophyta; Bacillariophyceae; Bacillariales; Bacillariaceae
Source: RNAcentral
AAGCAAGAGAUCAAAAGGAACAUAGGAAAACGAGUUCAUCAUCAUGUCUUUUCUUUUUCUUUUUCCCUCUUUUUCAAAGUUCUUUCU